CCCGGCGAUCGCCCCUCCGCUCCCCAGCCGUGGAACUCUCCCCGCCUCUGAGCUCGCAGAGAGCAGCUGUCUCCUGGGGCAGCACCGGCGGGGGAAGCAGAGCGCUUUCUGGGAGCCAUCACGGGAACGAGUGAAGAAGGCCGGGAGCUUAGCUGUGCAUCUUACACUCAGUUCAUUUCCCUUGGACGGGCUUGCAGUGCCUGCUCGGCAAUGUCCCAGCGCUGCCCCCAUGCGGCCUCCUGCCAUCCAGGUCCCCUCCAGGCCCACAGCUCCCCGACUCGGCCCCGCAGAGACUGACUGUCACGAGUUGGCUAAACAUGACAGCUGCCCCACAGGCUUGGAAGGCAACUUGACUAGCAGUGUGAGCGAUUAGACAGGACAAGAGCCUGGGGUAUUCUCUUAUGGGAUGAGGAAAGCCCAGGCUGUCCUCACUUCUGAAACUCGUGGCAAUCAUCAGGAAAGAGCAGCUGUCAAACUCGCCUCCUGCUCCAGUGGGGCCACCAGGCUGCAGCAGUCAUUCCUUAAUUGGUUUAUUAAUCUUCUAAGACGGUAGCCG
Molecule: long non-coding RNA, 556 nt
Filed under: Heterocephalus glaber (naked mole-rat)
Lineage: Eukaryota; Metazoa; Chordata; Mammalia; Rodentia; Bathyergidae
Description: lncRNA (ENSHGLG00000039351.1)
Source: RNAcentral